UGAAGUUAAAGGCUGUGGCUUAACCAUAGUACGCUUUGGAAACUGUUUAACUUGAGUGCAGAAGGGGAGAGUGGAAUUCCAUGUGUAGCGGUGAAAUGCGUAGAUAUAUGGAGGAACACCGGUGGCGAAAGCGGCUCUCUGGUCUGUAACUGACGCUGAGGCUCGAAAGCGUGGGGAGCGAACAGGAUUAGAUACCCUGGUAGUCCACGCCGUAAACGAUGAGUGCUAGGUGUUAGGCCCUUUCCGGGGCUUAGUGCCGCAGCUAACGCAUUAAGCACUCCGCCUGGGGAGUACGACCGCAAGGUUGAAACUCAAAGGAAUUGACGGGGGCCCGCACAAGCGGUGGAGCAUGUGGUUUAAUUCGAAGCAACGCGAAGAACCUUACCAGGUCUUGACAUCCCGAUGCCCGCUCUAGAGAUAGAGUUUUACUUCGGUACAUCGGUGACAGGUGGUGCAUGGUUGUCGUCAGCUCGUGUCGUGAGAUGUUGGGUUAAGUCCCGCAACGAGCGCAACCCUUAUUGUUAGUUGCCAUCAUUCAGUUGGGCACUCUAGCGAGACUGCCGGUAAUAAACCGGAGGAAGGUGGGGAUGACGUCAAAUCAUCAUGCCCCUUAUGACCUGGGCUACACACGUGCUACAAUGGCUGGUACAACGAGUCGCAAGUCGGUGACGGCAAGCUAAUCUCUUAAAGCCAGUCUCAGUUCGGAUUGUAGGCUGCAACUCGCCUACAUGAAGUCGGAAUCGCUAGUAAUCGCGGAUCAGCACGCCGCGGUGAAUACGUUCCCGGGCCUUGUACACACCGCCCGUCACACCACGAGAGUUUGUAACACCCGAAGUCGGUGAGGUAACCUUUUAGGAGCCAGCCGCCUAAGGUGGGAUAGAUGAUUGGGGUGAAGUCGUAACAAGGUAGCCGUAUCGGAGGG
This 922-nucleotide ribosomal RNA is filed under the name uncultured Streptococcus sp. RNAcentral's name for it is "bacterial SSU rRNA". It matches the Rfam family "Bacterial small subunit ribosomal RNA", at positions 590 to 1512 of the family's 1533-position model. Lineage: Bacteria; Bacillati; Bacillota; Bacilli; Lactobacillales; Streptococcaceae. The record is from RNAcentral.